GACGAACGCUGGCGGCGUGCCUAAUACAUGCAAGUAGAACGCACAGUUUAUACCGUAGCUUGCUACACCAUAGACUGUGAGUUGCGAACGGGUGAGUAACGCGUAGGUAACCUGCCUGGUAGCGGGGGAUAACUAUUGUAAACGAUAGCUAAUACCGCAUAAUAUUAAUUAUUGCAUGAUAAUUAAUUGAAAGGUGCAAUUGCACCACUACCAGAUGGACCUGCGUUGUAUUAGCUAGUAGGUGAGGUAACGGCUCACCUAGGCGACGAUACAUAGCCGACCUGAGAGGGGGAUCGGCCACACGGGGACGGAGACACGGCCCAGACUCCUACGGGAGGCAGCAGUAGGGAAUCUUCGGCAAUGGACGAAAGUCUGACCGAGCAACGCCGCGUGAGUGAAGAAGGUUUUCGGAUCGUAAAGCUCUGUUGUAAGAGAAGAACGGGUGUGAGAGUGGAAAGUUCACACUGUGACGGUAUCUUACCAGAAAGGGACGGCUAACUACGUG
RNAcentral lists this ribosomal RNA (505 nucleotides) under uncultured bacterium. RNAcentral describes it as "partial 16S ribosomal RNA". It matches the Rfam family "Bacterial small subunit ribosomal RNA", at positions 28 to 507 of the family's 1533-position model. The record is from RNAcentral.